Molecule: ribosomal RNA, 254 nt
Filed under: uncultured bacterium
Lineage: Bacteria
Description: partial 16S ribosomal RNA
Rfam family: Bacterial small subunit ribosomal RNA
Source: RNAcentral
UACGUAGGGGGCUAGCGUUGCUCGGAAUCACUGGGCGUAAAGCGCACGUAGGCGGACUCUUAAGUCGGUGGUGAAAUCCUGGAGCUCAACUCCAGAACUGCCUUCCGAUACUGAGAGUCUUGAGUCCGGGAGAGGUGAGUGGAACUGCGAGUGUAGAGGUGAAAUUCGUAGAUAUUCGCAAGAACACCAGUGGCGAAGGCGGCUCACUGGCUCAUUAUUGACGCUCAGGCGCGAUAGCGUGGGGAUCAAACAGG